GGGUAGUUAGUUGAGUGGCACAACACCCGUUUAGCAUACGGGAGGCCAAGGGUUCGAUUCCCUUACUAUCCA
This is a non-coding RNA of Anaeramoeba ignava, 72 nucleotides long. NCBI's taxonomy places the organism in Eukaryota, Anaeramoebidae. The record is from the annotation of a GenBank genome assembly.